CGUGCACACCAUUAAAGCUCAGGGUGGAGGCCGGUUCUGGCCUGUGAACUUCUGAGUGUCGGAGGUGUGCUACAGCAACGGCAGGGUUUCGCUAACACCAGGAGAGCUCGGCUCUAUGACUGGAGUUUGCUAGUGCUCUCUGCCACAUUC
This is a small nucleolar RNA of Erinaceus europaeus (western European hedgehog), 150 nucleotides long. The record is from Ensembl. NCBI's taxonomy places the organism in Eukaryota, Metazoa, Chordata, Mammalia, Eulipotyphla, Erinaceidae.